Molecule: ribosomal RNA, 773 nt
Filed under: uncultured bacterium
Lineage: Bacteria
Description: bacterial SSU rRNA
Rfam family: Bacterial small subunit ribosomal RNA
Source: RNAcentral
GUAAAGCGCGCGCAGGUGGUUUCUUAAGUCUGAUGUGAAAGCCCACGGCUCAACCGUGGAGGGUCAUUGGAAACUGGGAGACUUGAGUGCAGAAGAGGAAAGUGGAAUUCCAUGUGUAGCGGUGAAAUGCGUAGAGAUAUGGAGGAACACCAGUGGCGAAGGCGACUUUCUGGUCUGUAACUGACACUGAGGCGCGAAAGCGUGGGGAGCAAACAGGAUUAGAUAGCCUGGGUAGUCCACGCCGUAAACGAUGAGUGCUAAGUGUUAGAGGGUUUCCGCCCUUUAGUGCUGAAGUUAACGCAUUAAGCACUCCGCCUGGGGAGUACGGCCGCAAGGCUGAAACUCAAAGGAAUUGACGGGGGCCCGCACAAGCGGUGGAGCAUGUGGUUUAAUUCGAAGCAACGCGAAGAACCUUACCAGGUCUUGACAUCCUCUGAAAACCCUAGAGAUAGGGCUUCUCCUUCGGGAGCAGAGUGACAGGUGGUGCAUGGUUGUCGUCAGCUCGUGUCGUGAGAUGUUGGGUUAAGUCCCGCAACGAGCGCAACCCUUGAUCUUAGUUGCCAUCAUUAAGUUGGGCACUCUAAGGUGACUGCCGGUGACAAACCGGAGGAAGGUGGGGAUGACGUCAAAUCAUCAUGCCCCUUAUGACCUGGGCUACACACGUGCUACAAUGGACGGUACAAAGAGCUGCAAGACCGCGAGGUGGAGCUAAUCUCAUAAAACCGUUCUCAGUUCGGAUUGUAGGCUGCAACUCGCCUACAUGAAGCUGGAAU